AUUGAACGCUGGCGGCAGGCUUAACACAUGCAAGUCGAGCGGGGAAAGGUAGCUUGCUACCUGACCUAGCGGCGGACGGGUGAGUAAUGCUUAGGAAUCUGCCUAUUAGUGGUGGACAACAUCUCGAAAGGGAUGCUAAUACCGCAUACGUCCUACGGGAGAAAGCAGGGGACCUUCGGGCCUUGCGCUAAUAGAUGAGCCUAAGUCGGAUUAGCUAGUUGGUGGGGUAAAGGCCUACCAAGGCGACGAUCUGUAGCGGGUCUGAGAGGAUGAUCCGCCACACUGGGACUGAGACACGGCCCAGACUCCUAAGGGAAGCAGCAGUGGGGAAAAUUGGACAAAUGGGGGAACCCUGAACCAGCCAAGCCGCGGGGGUUAAGAAGGCCUUUCGGUUGUAAAGCACUUUAAGCGAGGAGGAAACUACAGAGAUUAAUACUCUUGGAUAGUGGACGUUACUCGCAGAAUAAGCACCGGCUAACUCUGUG
This 485-nucleotide ribosomal RNA is filed under the name uncultured bacterium. RNAcentral describes it as "partial 16S ribosomal RNA". It matches the Rfam family "Bacterial small subunit ribosomal RNA", at positions 30 to 507 of the family's 1533-position model. The record is from RNAcentral.